UGGGGAAUUUUGGACAAUGGGCGAAAGCCUGAUCCAGCAAUGCCGCGUGUGUGAAGAAGGCCUUCGGGUUGUAAAGCACUUUUGUCCGGAAAGAAAUCCUUGGCUCUAAUACAGUCGGGGGAUGACGGUACCGGAAGAAUAAGCACCGGCUAACUACGUGCCAGCAGCCGCGGUAAUACGUAGGGUGCAAGCGUUAAUCGGAAUUACUGGGCGUAAAGCGUGCGCAGGCGGUUUGCUAAGACCGAUGUGAAAUCCCCGGGCUCAACCUGGGAACUGCAUUGGUGACUGGCAGGCUAGAGUAUGGCAGAGGGGGGUAGAAUUCCACGCGUAGCAGUGAAAUGCGUAGAGAUGUGGAGGAAUACCGAUGGCGAAGGCAGCCCCCUGGGCCAAUACUGACGCUCAUGCACAAAAGCGUGGGGAGCAAACAGGAUUAGAUACCCUGGUAGUCCACGCCCUAAACGAUGUCAACUAGUUGUUGGGGAUUCAUUUCCUUAGUAACGUAGCUAACGCGUGAAGUUGACCGCCUGGGGAGUACGGUCGCAAGAUUAAAACUUAAAGGAAUUGACGGGGUCAUAGCUGUUUCCU
This 585-nucleotide ribosomal RNA is filed under the name uncultured bacterium. Its description in RNAcentral is "partial 16S ribosomal RNA". It matches the Rfam family "Bacterial small subunit ribosomal RNA", at positions 355 to 1375 of the family's 1533-position model. The record is from RNAcentral.